GGGUGUAGAGAGGGGAAAACCGGGUGAGAAGAGAGAGAAUCGGGAGGGAGAGAAAAAAAGAAAAGAAGAAGAAACGGGUUGGGCUCGGCCCAGCCGACCCAACACUCCUUUUAACCCAAAAUUCCAAAAUUCAACACCCCGAAAUAAUAUCCCAAUAAAAAUUACCUUUUACUAGCUAAAAUUUACUAUUUUUACCGUCGUCGUAUUUCCUUAAUACGAAUAAUCCUCCGUACAUAAUCGUCCCCGAAACCCCUCUAGGGACCAAUUAAACUAUUUACUCAUUGAUCGAGACGGUAAAAUUCUUAUUAUAAUCACGCUAGUAAAUAAGGUAAAAAUAUAAGGGUCGGGAUGUGACAGUGAAUGCAUACAAAAAGGUAUAGAAAAUCAAUAUGAGGACAAGAACGUCAUCCUCAUGAUCGCGAAUUUCAAAGAUUCGGAUCCUGCUCUAGCUACCCAUGACUUUGACGUCAUCGACUAGACAUUGAUUUUCGUUCCAAGCUAUAUGUACAAUGGCGUUGUAUCGACGUCCUUCGUCUAUUUGAGACCUCGAUGUACUCACAUUAGCAAUAAUUAAUACCUUGAGAAUUUUUUCGAAGUUAUGAAACUAUUCUCCUCUUAUGGUUCGUAUUGAUUUACAAAAAAAAUGUACAUUCUUACAUCGUCCUUAGAAACAUGGCAUAUUGUGCCGAUUUUGGUCCCUUCCUUUGAAGGUGACUCAUGGCACCGCAUCCUCAAUGAGAAUCGCCCACGUGUUUCCGGUUAAGUUAAGUCUUCUACCCUAUAGCGGAUUUUCCAUCAUCAAUUGUUCAACUAGGCUCAUCCAAGCUCAGUGUAAUGUCUUAGAAUUGUCCGAAAUUAAAGAGAUAGUGGUUUCAAGUGUGCCUCGCACUACCGACCCUCCACGGACAUGCCUGGUCAUACUGACUUGGAGUUACCGAAAGCUUUUGAUUUUGGAUCCCCCUACACUAUUAAACCAAUUUCCAUCUUACAAAAGACGUUGAAGACUUAUCAAACCCGAAAAUUAUCAUCAUGAUCGAUCCUCUAGGUCCUCUGAGUUAGUUUAUUGUUCAUGUCAGGGAGCUUUUGCUAACUAGUCAU
RNAcentral lists this long non-coding RNA (1098 nucleotides) under Fragaria vesca (wild strawberry). RNAcentral describes it as "long non-coding RNA (FVES_LNC005121)". The record is from RNAcentral. Lineage: Eukaryota; Viridiplantae; Streptophyta; Magnoliopsida; Rosales; Rosaceae.